UCGAGCUAGACGGGGAGCUAGCGGUGCCCUGUACCCGAAAGCCGCUUAUGCGGGGUCGAAUUCCCCCUCGAGGGUCAGCGCUUUCCGGGACUGCCGAGGAGAAGCGGCGUUGAGGGCCGGGUCCUGCGCGGCAGGAGCCUACGAACCCCGUCAGGUCCGGAAGGAAGCAGCGGUAAGUAGUCCCUCCUGGGCGCCGCAGGGGUGCCUGGUCGGAGCUGGCUGGCCUGGGCAAGCCGGGAAGGCUGGUUCGACAGGGGGUGCACGA
RNAcentral lists this signal recognition particle RNA (265 nucleotides) under Anaerolineae bacterium. Its description in RNAcentral is "signal recognition particle sRNA large type". It matches the Rfam family "Bacterial large signal recognition particle RNA". Rfam says of the family: The signal recognition particle (SRP) is a universally conserved ribonucleoprotein involved in the co-translational targeting of proteins to membranes. Lineage: Bacteria; Bacillati; Chloroflexota; Anaerolineae. The record is from RNAcentral.